This 540-nucleotide ribosomal RNA is filed under the name uncultured bacterium. Its description in RNAcentral is "bacterial SSU rRNA". It matches the Rfam family "Bacterial small subunit ribosomal RNA", at positions 777 to 1315 of the family's 1533-position model. The record is from RNAcentral.
AAUAGAUACCCGGGUAGUCCACCCCGUAAACGUUGGGAACUAGUUGUGGGGUCCUUUCCACGGAUUCCGUGACGCAGCUAACGCAUUAAGUUCCCCGCCUGGGGAGUACGGCCGCAAGGCUAAAACUCAAAGGAAUUGACGGGGACUCGCACAAGCGGCGGAGCAUGCGGAUUAAUUCGAUGCAACGCGAAGAACCUUACCAAGGCUUGACAUACACCAGAACACCCUAGAAAUAGGGGACUCUUUGGACACUGGUGAACAGGUGGUGCAUGGUUGUCGCCAGCUCGUGUCGUGAGAUGUUGGGUUAAGUCCCGCAACGAGCGCAACCCUCGUUCUAUGUUGCCAGCACGUAAUGGUGGGAACUCAUGGGAUACUGCCGGGGUCAACUCGGAGGAAGGUGGGGAUGACGUCAAAUCAUCAUGCCCCUUAUGUCUUGGGCUUCACGCAUGCUACAAUGGCCGGUACAAAGGGCUGCAAUACCGUGAGGUGGAGCGAAUCCCAAAAAGCCGGUCCCAGUUCGGAUUGAGGUCUGCAACUCGA